RNAcentral lists this ribosomal RNA (497 nucleotides) under uncultured bacterium. Its description in RNAcentral is "partial 16S ribosomal RNA". It matches the Rfam family "Bacterial small subunit ribosomal RNA", at positions 28 to 507 of the family's 1533-position model. The record is from RNAcentral.
GAUGAACGCUGGCGGCGUGCCUAAUACAUGCAAGUCGAGCGAACAGACGAGGAGCUUGCUCCUCUGACGUUAGCGGCGGACGGGUGAGUAACACGUGGAUAACCUACCUAUAAUACUGGGAUAACUUCGGGAAACCGGAGCUAAUACCGGAUAAUAUAUUGAACCGCAUGGUUCAAUAGUGAAAGACGGUUUUGCUGUCACUUAUAGAUGGAUCCGCGCCGCAUUAGCUAGUUGGUAAGGUAACGGCUUACCAAGGCAACGAUGCGUAGCCGACCUGAGAGGGUGAUCGGCCACACUGGAACUGAGACACGGUCCAGACUCCUACGGGAGGCAGCAGUAGGGAAUAUUCCGCAAUGGGCGAAAGCCUGACGGAGCAACGCCGCGUGAGUGAUGAAGGUCUUCGGAUCGUAAAACUCUGUUAUUAGGGAAGAACAAAUGUGUAAGUAAAUAUGCACGUCUUGACGGUACCUAAUCAGAAAGCCACGGCUAACUACGUG